GACGAACGCUGGCGGCGUGCUUAACACAUGCCAGUCGAGCGACGCUCUUCCUUCGGGGAGAUGACGGAGCGGCGAACGGGUGAGUAACACGUGGGCAACCUGCCCCUAGCUCUGGGACAACACCGGGAAACCGGUGCUAAUACCGGAUACGACAUCGAGCGGCAUCUCUCGAUGUGGAAAGUUUUUUCGGCUAGGGAUGGGCCCGCGGCCUAUCAGCUUGUUGGUGGGGUAAUGGCCCACCAAGGCGACGACGGGUAGCCGGCCUGAGAGGGCGACCGGCCACACUGGGACUGAGACACGGCCCAGACUCCUACGGGAGGCAGCAGUGGGGAAUAUUGCGCAAUGGGCGAAAGCCUGACGCAGCGACGCCGCGUGAGGGAUGACGGCCUUCGGGUUGUAAACCUCUUUCAGCAGGGACGAAUUCAGACGGUACCUGCAGAAGAAGCACCGGCCAACUACGUG
RNAcentral lists this ribosomal RNA (462 nucleotides) under uncultured bacterium. Its description in RNAcentral is "partial 16S ribosomal RNA". It matches the Rfam family "Bacterial small subunit ribosomal RNA", at positions 28 to 507 of the family's 1533-position model. The record is from RNAcentral.